AAANGGAGAUAUANCCCUAGAUUUAGAAUGGCUGGAAUGCUUCUAAAUUGAAAGAUUUAUCGCCUAAGGAUAAGUCUGCGGACUAUCAGGUCGUAGUUAGGGUAAAUACCUGACUAGCCUACGACGGAUACGGGUUGUGAGAGCACUAGCCCGGAGAUGAUAUCUGAGACACGAUAUCAGGCCCUACGGGGCGCAGCAGGCGCGAAAACUUCGCACUGUGCGAAAGCACGACGAGGGAAUCCCAAGUGCUGGCUCGUAAGAGUCAGCUGUUUCUUUGUCUAAAAAACAGAGAGAGUAAGAGCUGGGUAAGACGGGUGCCAGCCGCCGCGGUAAUACCUGCAGCUCAAGUGGUGGCCGCUAUUAUUGGGCCUAAAACGUCCGUAGCCGGUUCUAUAAAUGCCUGGGUAAAUCGUACGGCUUAACCGUACGAAUUCCGGGUAGACUGUUCAACUUGGGACCGGGAGAGGCUAGAGGUACUCCUGGGGUAGAGGUGAAAUUCUGUAAUCCUAGGGGGACCACCAGUGGCGAAGGCGUCUACCUAGAACGGGUCUGACGGUGAGGGACGAAGCCCUGGGGG
This 577-nucleotide ribosomal RNA is filed under the name uncultured archaeon. Its description in RNAcentral is "bacterial SSU rRNA". It matches the Rfam family "Archaeal small subunit ribosomal RNA", at positions 138 to 718 of the family's 1478-position model. The record is from RNAcentral.